This 1594-nucleotide unclassified non-coding RNA is filed under the name Hevea brasiliensis (rubber tree). Lineage: Eukaryota; Viridiplantae; Streptophyta; Magnoliopsida; Malpighiales; Euphorbiaceae. The record is from RNAcentral.
AAGAUAUAUAAAACAUAUACAAACAUCUUCUUCCAACUUACAACAUUCCAUGUCCCUCCUCUCUCUCUACUAAAGACUUCAUAUACCAUUAAACUCUAUCAUGAAAUUAAACCCCUAAUCUAAUCUUAGGAUUAAAAAAGGUAAAUAAGUAAAACAAAGCUAAGGUAAGGAUCAAAGGGAAAAUUAAUCUCCUUUGUAUAUUAUGGCAUUAAUUAAAAGACUAAGGAAGUCACUUAGACUAUGAUGAAUGCAGCAGAGCCACACUUCUCACAUCACACUGCAGCUGUUGGUGUUUUCAUCACUGAAGAAGGUGCUGUAGUUAUCACUUGGAGGUGGUGGAUGGCCGUAGUAAUACGGGUUGUAUGGUGCUGGAGGUGGCAUGUAAUUGACAGCAGGUGGUGGUCGAGCGUACAUCAUUGGUUGAAACCUUUCGUUCCCAUUGGCACGCUGCUGUUGUUGCUGCAUCAUCAUAGCUGCCAUUUGUUGCUGCUGGUAGUAAGGAUUGCCAGCCAUGACUUCAGGACCAGCACCUUGGAAGUAGCCACCUGCAUUACCACCACUACCACCUCCACCGCCCCCCAUUGCCGCCCCUGCUGGUAGGCCUUGGACUGCUGAAACAUGGCUCAUUUGCCCCACUGGAUUACCCAUUUGACCCAUUGGAAGACCACCCAUUUGGCCCACUGGAAGACCACCCAUUUGACCCAUCUGCCCCAUUGGAUUAGGCAUGUUUCCCAACUGGCCCAUGUUUACACCUCCACUCAUAGCCAUCAUCCUGUUUGGCAUGCCUUGAGGCAUCCCAUCAUUUCCUCCACCUCCUUUUUUGGCCCCAUUGCCAUUCAUGUUAGGAAUAUUGCCAGCACCACCGCCGCCGCCACCAUUCUUGUUCUGUCCACCACCACUCGGCUGCCCUCCACCAUUCUUGCCACCCUUUUGAGCAGGUGGUCCUCCACCUUGAUUUGGGUUUCCCCCAUUUCCACCGCCUUUCUUACCACCGUUAUUACCGCCCAUGUUAAUCUGAACAGGGACAUUACCACCACCUUUUUUCCCGUUACCACCACCGCCAUUAUUGCCACCAUUGUUUCCGCCAUUACCACCCUUCAUAAGCUGAGGGUGCUGCCCAUUCAUCAUCAUCAUAUUAGGCAUCUGACCUCCUCCACCAUUACCACCCAUCAUCUGCUUCAUCUGAGCUCCAGGAUUACCACCCAUCAUUGGUGGCUUCAUCUGAGCUCCUCCUCCUCCUCCAUUACCACCCAUCAUUGGCAGCUUCAUCUGAGCAGCACCACCUGCACCCGGGCCCAUCAUCCCCUUCAUUUUCACCGGGAUAUCAUCCAGUUCAUCAUCCAACUCAUCCUCAUCAAAAUCAUCAUCCUCGUCAUCAGUCAAAUCAUCCUCAUCAAAAUCAUCAUCAGUUAAAUCAUCCACCUCAGGCAUGGUAAACUUAACAGCCUUUGGAUUCUGGUCUUUCCCCAUUGGGGGAAGUUUCAAGUCCUUGAAUUGUGGGGGCAGCUUCAGAUCUUGUAAAUUCUUCAACUGUUGAAGUUGCUGCUGAUUUGGCAUUUGAGCUCCUCCUCCUCCACCUCCUCCACCUUUUGGC